Molecule: non-coding RNA, 54 nt
Organism: Lactobacillus kefiranofaciens subsp. kefirgranum
Lineage: Bacteria; Bacillati; Bacillota; Bacilli; Lactobacillales; Lactobacillaceae
Source: Rfam
GGGUGGCUAGCUCAGCUGGCAGAGCAACGGACUCUUAAUCCGUGGGUCCAGGGU